UACGUAGGGUGCAGGCGUUAAUCGGAAUUACUGGGCGUAAAGUGUGCGCAGGCGGUCUGCUAAGAGAGAUGUGAAAUCCCCGGGCUUAACCUGGGAACUGCGUUUCUAACUGGCAGGCUUGAGUGUGGCAGAGGGGGGUGGAAUUCCACGUGUAGCAGUGAAAUGCGUAGAGAUGUGGAGGAACACCGAUGGCGAAGGCAGCCCCCUGGGCUAACACUGACGCUCAUGCACGAAAGCGUGGGGAGCAAACAGG
This 253-nucleotide ribosomal RNA is filed under the name uncultured bacterium. RNAcentral describes it as "partial 16S ribosomal RNA". It matches the Rfam family "Bacterial small subunit ribosomal RNA", at positions 524 to 776 of the family's 1533-position model. The record is from RNAcentral.